RNAcentral lists this ribosomal RNA (183 nucleotides) under uncultured bacterium. RNAcentral describes it as "partial 16S ribosomal RNA". It matches the Rfam family "Bacterial small subunit ribosomal RNA", at positions 1318 to 1500 of the family's 1533-position model. The record is from RNAcentral.
GCAUGAAGCCGGAAUCGCUAGUAAUCGCGGAUCAGAAUGCCGCGGUGAAUACGUUCCCGGGUCUUGUACACACCGCCCGUCACACCAUGGGAGCCGGGAAUGCCCGAAGUCAGUGGCCCAACCGAAAGGGGGGAGCUGCCGAAGGCAGGCCUGGUGACUGGGGUGAAGUCGUAACAAGGUAGC